This 918-nucleotide ribosomal RNA is filed under the name Hebeloma cavipes. RNAcentral's name for it is "eukaryotic LSU rRNA". It matches the Rfam family "Eukaryotic large subunit ribosomal RNA", at positions 67 to 971 of the family's 3401-position model. The record is from RNAcentral. Lineage: Eukaryota; Fungi; Basidiomycota; Agaricomycetes; Agaricales; Hymenogastraceae.
AACAAGGAUUCCCCUAGUACUGCGAGUGAAGCGGGAAAAGCUCAAAUUUAAAAUCUGGCGGUCUCUGGCCGUCCGAGUUGUAAUCUAGAGAAGUGUUAUCCGCGCUGGACCGUGUACAAGUCUCCUGGAAUGGAGCGUCAUAGAGGGUGAGAAUCCCGUCUUUGACACGGACUGCCAGGGCUUUGUGAUGCGCUCUCAAAGAGUCGAGUUGUUUGGGAAUGCAGCUCAAAAUGGGUGGUAAAUUCCAUCUAAAGCUAAAUAUUGGCGAGAGACCGAUAGCGAACAAGUACCGUGAGGGAAAGAUGAAAAGAACUUUGGAAAGAGAGUUAAACAGUACGUGAAAUUGCUGAAAGGGAAACGCUUGAAGUCAGUCGCGUUGGCCGGGGAUCAACCUUGCUUUUGCUGGGCGUACUUUCCGGUUGACGGGUCAGCAUCAAUUUUGACCGUUGGAUAAAGUCCAGGGGAAUGUGGCAUCUUCGGAUGUGUUAUAGCCCUUGGUCGCAUACAACGGUUGGGAUUGAGGAACUCAGCACGCCGCAAGGCCGGGUACUUGUACCACGUUCGUGCUUAGGAUGCUGGCAUAAUGGCUUUAAUCGACCCGUCUUGAAACACGGACCAAGGAGUCUAACAUGCCUGCGAGUGUUUGGGUGGAAAACUCGGACGCGUAAUGAAAGUGAAAGUUGAGAUCCCUGUCGUGGGGAGCAUCGACGCCCGGACCAGACCUUUUGUGACGGAUCCGCGGUAGAGCAUGUAUGUUGGGACCCGAAAGAUGGUGAACUAUGCCUGAAUAGGGUGAAGCCAGAGGAAACUCUGGUGGAGGCUCGUAGCGAUUCUGACGUGCAAAUCGAUCGUCAAAUUUGGGUAUAGGGGCGAAAGACUAAUCGAACCAUCUAGUAGCUGGUUCCUGCCGAAUUUCCC